This 938-nucleotide long non-coding RNA is filed under the name Androctonus crassicauda. The record is from RNAcentral. Lineage: Eukaryota; Metazoa; Arthropoda; Arachnida; Scorpiones; Buthidae.
GUGAAUCAUGGGAAAUAUUAACAAAGUUGCAUUGUCAUUUGUUGAUAUCAAUGUCCAGUUGUCUGCAAUUCCAAAAUUGGAAACACAUUAUUUAAAAUAUUUAGACUUUUGACAGUAACUUAUGAUUAGGUAUGACAGUUAAUGAAAUCUUGCAUAUGGUAUCCAUACUUUCCUUGGCUUCAGUACAUGAUAUUACAUGACAUUUCAGAAAGCAUUCUCAAGCUUUCAAUAUAGGCAAUGUUGCUUAUUGUUUCUUAGUUUCUGGAAAGCGGAUGACCGUCAGUUUGCUAUUUUAUAAUUAAGAUGCUUGUCUACUCUUUUAAGUAUUUUUAAAUUCCUGCUUAUUGAGGGCAUUUGUAUAUAUUCUUUCAUCUCAUCAUCAUGUGGAUUAAUUUUCUGCUGUUUUGUUUGCUCCAUAGUCUAUAUGUUUUGAUGAUUAAUAUAGUCACUGUUGUAAUUUUGUUGCAAAUCCUCUACAUAAAUGCAAAAUUAUAUCCAUGUGCAUUUCCAUCAUUGAUUAUUCUAUUAAAUGCAUCAUGUCUAUUCUGGUUUGUGGAACACUCCCUAAGAUAAGUCCAGACCUAAGGAAUCCAUCCUCCAGACCUAAGGAAGAUAUCAAGUCAAUCUGUAAUCUAAACAUAAAUAACCAUGAAGAAUAUGUAGAAAUAACAAGCAGAAAUUUAAGAGAGGCUGCAAGAAUACAAAAAUGACAUUGACAAAGGUAACUUUACAAUGGCACUUAGUAAAAGAUGUAUGAACAUAAUGGAAAAAUUUAAAUUUGAUAAUACCAGCAUCAUAAAACCAUGUAACACUUUGAAAGAAGGGUUGAUUAAAAAAUCAAUAGAGAUUAUAGAAAGAGUACAAUACAAGGAUAUAAUUAAUGACCAAGAUUAUAGAAACAUUUCUAAAACAUGAUUGUAUUCAUUGAAGAGAACAUC